GUGCUCGCUUCGGCAGCACAUAUACUAAAAUUGGAACGAUACAGAGAAGAUUAGCAUGGCCCCUGCGCAAAUAAACACAAUAUUCAAAGAGCAGAGCUGGCCCAGAUCUAG
Small nuclear RNA from Myotis lucifugus (little brown bat), 111 nucleotides. Lineage: Eukaryota; Metazoa; Chordata; Mammalia; Chiroptera; Vespertilionidae. The record is from Ensembl.